UCAGUGAAGUAGGGAGGCAAGGCAUGCUCAUCUCCAUUGCACAGAUGAGCAAAGGAAGGCCCAGAGAGAAGGGGCUUGCCCACAGACUGGCACAGAUAUAGGUGCCAAGCUCUACGACCCCCAGCCCAGUACUUGUUCUACGGUUCUGUUUCUUAUGUGCAGCUGGGCAGAGCAGAAAAUCAGAAGCUGAGAAUUCUGGGAAGAAAGAAUCCCUUCGGACCUGUAACUUCCUUCUUUCCGCCUUCUCUUUCUUCCUUCCCUUAUGCUGGUCACUGGGACACCAUGAUGAACAAGAUACAACCCAGGCCCUCCUAGAGCUCACAGGCCAGUGAGGAUAAAGACCUCUAAUCAGGCCCUUAUUAGCUGGGGUACUAGAGGCCAGGCGGGAGGCACAUAGCAGAGACGCCUGACCCAGCCUGGGGGAAUCCCGGUGGUCUGCCUGUAGGAAGUGACACCUUGCCUGAGACCGCCUCCAUUCCUACUAACCUGGCUUGGUUCUAGCCCCAUGUCCUCCAGAUGGCUGCCUGCUCUCCUGAAGGCUUCAGGUCCUGAUGCCUGACAUGAGUUAUCAUGUCCUGUGUGCAGGCCCAGCUCCUGGCUCAUGCAUAGGAGGCACUGAGCAACUCCUGGUGCCUAGUCCAGGACUUGGCUCCACCCAGAUAGGGAUGGUGGGUUGGGGGUGAACUGUCUUCAGUGGCAUGCACCUUUUUCUGUCUAGGAAUCCACUCUGAGUGAUGACUCCACGCCCCCCAGCAGCAGCCCCAAGAUCCCCAGUGGGCCCCGGCAGGAGGCCAAAUGUUCUUACCCCUACCACACACUGUCUCAGUCUUCAGACGAGGUGAGCAAGGCUGGCCCAGGGUGCCCACGGAGUCCUGACCUCUGACUCUACAAGGUGCUCAGGUCACAAGCCAAGCCUCCCCCCUCACUCUCCUUGGUCUCUGCCCAGUUCCUGGAUGAACCCCUCCCCCCUGUCCACCAUUGGACCAGCCAGCAGGUGGGCCAGUGGCUGCAGAGCCUCAACCUGGAACAGUAUGCUGCCGAGUUUGCUGCACGGCAGGUAGACGGGCCGCAGCUGCUGCAGCUGGACGGAAGCAAACUAAAGGUGGGUCAGAGUGGAAGGGCCAUGACCCAGCCCAGUUACUUGAGGUGACUUUCAAGGAUUUGAAGUCCCUCGUCCUGACCUUUGACCCUCAGCCCAGCCUUCUGGGCUGACCUUUUUACUCCAUCUGUGGCCACUACCCUGACCUCUGACCUCUAGGCAAGGUCCUUGGUCUAAUCUUUUGAGUUGUAGCAUGAAUCCCUAGUUUGACUUGAAACUCUAGUCCAUGACUUCAGUGUGACCUUCAAGCUCCAGCCCUGGUCUCCAGGCUGACCUUGCCCUCUAGGAUGACCCUUGAUGCAUAUGAGUGUCCUGGUAUCAUGGGAAGCCACAUCUCCCCCUGGUCAGCUUGGUCUGAUUCUGUCUCAGAGGCUAGUGGUAAUCGUGGGCAGGGGGAGGCUGUAGGGAGGGGGAUGGGUGGCCUCUGACCUAUAAGCUGGGAGGUUCCUGGCCUGUCUCCUGCUCUCUCUGAGUUGCUUGGGGCAGGGAUGGUGAAAAGAGCCCCCAGGAAGUCUCUGGAAGUGAGGAGGGUCCUUGGGCACUAACUGUGUGACCUUGGGCAAGUGACUCCCCAUCUCUGGGCCUCAGGAGGUUGCGCAGGUCCGGGCCAAGGCUGAAAUACUGAGUGGAGGAAUGGCGGGGGGAGGAGGAGGAAGCGCCUAAUACCCCCAACCCUCAUCUUUCCCAACCACACUCAUUCCAAAUUCUUGCUCUGGGGGUUCUGAUCCAUGGGCAGGUCACGGUGUGGGAGGCGGAGGCUCCACUCCAGGGAGGAUUCGGAGCUCCACAGAGUACACCUGGGGCAAAAGGAGCCUGGGCGUAGGAGGCCAGGACCGGGAAGGUUCUGGGACUCUCUCCCUCACCCCGGACUCCUCCCCAGAGCCUGGGGCUCAGCAACUCGCAUGACCGGGCACUGGUGAAGCGCAAGUUGAAGGAGAUGGCAGCGGCUGCCGAGAAGGAGCGCAAGGCCCAGGAGAAGGCUGCGCGGCAGCGGGAGAAGCUCCGGCGCCGAGAGCAGGAGGCCAAGAAGAGCUAGGGGAGGGUGCACAGGCGCUGGCGCCCGGCAGGGGCAGCCACUGGCUCCGCGGGCACAGGCCUCACCAGGGAGGCUGGACCUGGGCACUGCACUUGGGCUAGCCUGGUCCCACGCUCUCAGGGGGGACAUGCCCUCUCUUACCCUGUCACUUGGUCUAGACCCAGAGCCCCCAGAAAGGGAGACCCCAGGGAGAGGGCCUAGUAAUAAAUCCUAUUUUGAGGACU
RNAcentral lists this small RNA (2359 nucleotides) under Pongo abelii (Sumatran orangutan). RNAcentral describes it as "retained intron". Lineage: Eukaryota; Metazoa; Chordata; Mammalia; Primates; Hominidae. The record is from RNAcentral.